AGUGGGGAAUUUUGGACAAUGGGCGCAAGCCUGAUCCAGCAAUGCCGCGUGCAGGAUGAAGGCCUUCGGGUUGUAAACUGCUUUUGUACGGAGCGAAAAGGCUCCCUCUAAUACAGGGGGCUCAUGACGGUACCGUAAGAAUAAGCACCGGCUAACUACGUGCCAGCAGCCGCGGUAAUACGUAGGGUGCAAGCGUUAAUCGGAAUUACUGGGCGUAAAGCGUGCGCAGGCGGUUAUGUAAGACAGAUGUGAAAUCCCCGGGCUCAACCUGGGAACUGCAUUUGUGACUGCAUAGCUAGAGUACGGCAGAGGGGGAUGGAAUUCCGCGUGUAGCAGUGAAAUGCGUAGAUAUGCGGAGGAACACCGAUGGCGAAGGCAAUCCCCUGGGCCUGUACUGACGCUCAUGCACGAAAGCGUGGGGAGCAAACAGGAUUAGAUACCCUGGUAGUCCACGCCCUAAACGAUGUCAACUGGUUGUUGGGUCUUCACUGACUCAGUAACGAAGCUAACGCGUGAAGUUGACCGCCUGGGGAGUACGGCCGCAAGGUUG
Molecule: ribosomal RNA, 550 nt
Filed under: uncultured bacterium
Lineage: Bacteria
Description: bacterial SSU rRNA
Rfam family: Bacterial small subunit ribosomal RNA
Source: RNAcentral